UGCCAUGGCCAAGUGCUGUUUCAUAAGACUGAACGGGUGUCCGUUGCAAGGGGCUCCGAUGAGCUGUGGCAAGGGGUGAAAGGCCAAUCUAACCUGGAGAUUAGCUGGUCUUCCGCGAAACCCGUUUUAGCGGGUCGCCCAUCAUUGUAACUAUCUAACGAAACCCGAUUCGUUAACCGACCUUACCUUUGGCCUUCCCUUUUGUCGCCCCACACGGUACUACGUACCUACGGGGUCUGAAAAAAGGCAAAGGAAGUUCAAGCUAAUUCGUUACUAGACGGUACGGCACUGGAAGCCACGCAGCUUUGCUGCAUAAUCGGGGGGCUGUCAUGGCUCUAUCGAUGGCUUCUAACCCCGGAAAUGUAUAGUAUACAAAGGUGGGCAAUCAGACGUAUCGUGAUAAGGCGAUUCGUCAAAAGGGCAACAGCCCAGAACAGGCGCUAAGGUCCCUAAGAACUACUGAGUGAACACAAGGCAGUCCUCUCCAGUGUCUCUCCACCAAGUGGGCUUGGAAGCAGCCACCUUUUAGCGAAAGCGUAACAGCUCAGUGGUUUGAGCUCCCCUGCCAUUUCGGCAUUUCUCUUCUAGCCCCUCCCCCCCCUCGGCCCAAGUACUGAGGGGGGCGGCGACCGCCGAAGGCGAACCUUCGCUUGUAAGGCAACAAACACGGGGCCUAUCUUUUUAGGUAUCUGAUUCUAGGUUACGAGGUGGCGUGGCAGCCGGCACAGGCGCAGAGCUCCUCCGCCUGCCUCACCGAAACCCUGUCCUAGGCGCGGGGUAGCGGAAUACCCAGCAAAUGGAAUGAAGGUGGCUCAUCGAGCCGGUGGACAUAGCUGGGCUGAGAAUGCUGACAUGAGUAGCCUCAAAAGAGGGGUAUUCCCUCUUCGCCGGAAGCAGAAGGGUUUCAUAUGUUAGGUCCAUACCAGCAUGAGUAAAGCAGCGGCCUCUAAGGCAGCUUAGGGUGGCGGAGUGCCGAUGAGUAACUCUUCUGUAGGGCAGUAACCUUCCUUACAAGUAUACCUGGGUCUGCCUGACCCGACCUGAUCCCCGCCUUCGGCCCCUCGGUCCUCAACGAGGGCAUCGUACCUCGGCCGAGGGCCAGGACUAGGGGCCACCCUGUGGUCCUACGGCCACCCCGGCCUGAGGACCAAGGGCCCUCAGUCCUUGGGCCGAGGGGGGGGCCCCUCUUUUGGCCUUGGACCCCGGCCAAAGUACCAGGUAAUCAGAGGUAUACUUCAUGGGAAAAAGGUUCGGGAAAGAGCUCUACGGAAACCCCUGACCCUUGGCCCAGACGCCGCCUCCGGCCCAAGGACGGGGCGCCCUUGGGCCGAGGGGGGCGGCAAACGUCGAGCUUAGCAGGAACUACAGCGGAACGGAGCAGGGGGAGACGUCUGGAAAAGUACAGCCAACCGUACCCUAAACCGACACUGGUCUGCUGGUAGAGCAUACCAAGGCGUAGAGGUAAUCGUCUUGAAGGAACUCGGCAAGAUGACCCCGUAACUUCGGGA
This 1508-nucleotide ribosomal RNA is filed under the name Funneliformis coronatus. Its description in RNAcentral is "Funneliformis coronatum partial large subunit ribosomal RNA". It matches the Rfam family "Bacterial large subunit ribosomal RNA", at positions 732 to 1741 of the family's 2925-position model. The record is from RNAcentral. Lineage: Eukaryota; Fungi; Glomeromycota; Glomeromycetes; Glomerales; Glomeraceae.